Molecule: transfer RNA, 85 nt
Filed under: Sulfurimonas sp.
Lineage: Bacteria; Pseudomonadati; Campylobacterota; Epsilonproteobacteria; Campylobacterales; Sulfurimonadaceae
Also listed under: 4 other names
Description: tRNA-Leu
Rfam family: tRNA
About the family: Transfer RNA (tRNA) molecules are approximately 80 nucleotides in length. Their secondary structure includes four short double-helical elements and three loops (D, anti-codon, and T loops).
Source: RNAcentral
GCCGCCGUGGUGAAAUCGGUAGACACGUCGGAUUCAAAAUCCGAUGCUUUCGGGCGUGGCGGUUCAAGUCCGCCCGGCGGUACCA